Molecule: ribosomal RNA, 463 nt
Filed under: uncultured bacterium
Lineage: Bacteria
Description: SSU rRNA
Rfam family: Bacterial small subunit ribosomal RNA
Source: RNAcentral
AGAAUCAACGCUGGCGGCGUGCCUAACACAUGCAAGUCGAACGAGAAAGUGGUAGCAAUACCAUGAGUACAGUGGCGCACGGGUGAGUAACACGUGACUAACCUACCCUGGAGUGGGGGAUAACUGAGGGAAACCUUAGCUAAUACCGCAUAAUACCUACGGGUCAAAGGAGCAAUUCGCUUCAGGAGGGGGUCGCGGCCGAUUAGUUAGUUGGCGGGGUAAUGGCCCACCAAGACAGUGAUCGGUAUCCGGCCUGAGAGGGCGCACGGACACACUGGAACUGAAACACGGUCCAGACUCCUACGGGAGGCAGCAGUGGGGAAUUUUGCGCAAUGGGGGGAAACCCUGACGCAGCAACGCCGCGUGGAGGAUGAAGUCCUUCGGGACGUAAACUCCUUUCGAUCGGGACGAUAAUGACGGUACCGGAAGAAGAAGCCCCGGCUAACUUCGCGCCAGCAGCCGC